Molecule: ribosomal RNA, 215 nt
Filed under: uncultured bacterium
Lineage: Bacteria
Description: partial 16S ribosomal RNA
Rfam family: Bacterial small subunit ribosomal RNA
Source: RNAcentral
UACAGAGGUCCCAAGCGUUGUUCGGAUUCAUUGGGCGUAAAGGGUGCGUAGGUGGCGCCGUAAGUCAGGUGUGAAAUCUCGGGGCUUAACUCCGAAACGUGCAUUUGACUAACUGCGGUUGCUUGAGGACUGGAGAGGAGACUGGAAUUUACGGUGUAGCAGUGAAAUGCGUAGAGAUCGUAAGGAAGACCAGUGGCGAAGGCGGGUCGUCGUGG